Molecule: long non-coding RNA, 2561 nt
Organism: Lepisosteus oculatus (spotted gar)
Lineage: Eukaryota; Metazoa; Chordata; Actinopteri; Semionotiformes; Lepisosteidae
Source: RefSeq, a predicted model, not a curated record
AGGAGGAGGUGUUGCGUUUCUUUUUUUCCAUCAGUAUAUAUACAAAGUUGUUCAGACUUGCAAAACUUUACAAUCUUUAAGUGUUUUUAAACAUGAAUGUUAGAUUUAAGGAGUUUAAUGUUAGGUUUGCUCGGCUAGAAGUAAUUUGGAAACAGAACCUUGGUGUAUAACUAAUCUGUUGGUAAACCUGGCUAGAUAUCACAUUCACAAAGCACUGAUUAACCUACAGGUCUGUCUUUGGCCUGUGGGAGGAAACUGGAGCAGCAAGAGGAAACCCAUGUGAACACAGGAAGAACAUACAGUACACACUCCAAAGUCCAUGCAGAUCAAAUCCAGAGCCCCAUUCUGCUCAAAUAUUGACAAAAUAUAAAUUAACUCAAUUGCCUAGCCAAAAAUAAGUAGCUUGAAAUACUAAUAAUUCAAUUAAAGAGAGAACUACACGAGCCAGCUUUUUAAAAUUACAAGCACCUACCCUAACAGUGAACUUGGUGUGACCCCAUUAUUUCUGUAUCAUUUAUGUCAUGGCCUUUGUGUGCUCAUCUUUUGUUUUCUCCGAUUUUGCUUUAAAUGUUACAGAUUCACACCUAAUCGAGAGGAGGCGUGGUCUGGGUGUUCCAUUAGAAUGGGAGAGGCUGACCUUCACUAUAUAAGAUCUGCCAAAGCAGCAUGAAACAGCUUUGUGCUCUCACACAGGCUGUUUCCUGUGGUUUGGCUGCCUUGUCUUGGUCAUGGACUGUUUUUUAUAUGUUCAUUGUGGUUUUUGGGUUUGUUUUUUGUUUUGUAGGGAAGUUAGCUUGUUUUAUGUGAAUAGGGGAGUGUGAGUAGUCAGAGAGUCUGAGGAAAACUUGUUUUGGAUAAGUUUGUUUUUUUUGGGUGGGGGGUCCUAUGUUAAGUGUGUUGGAGUAUAUUUGGAUAGAGUAGUAUCCUGUUUGGAGAAAAAUGAAGAAAAAGGCCUGUUUCGUUUGUAAAGCUAUUUUAUGUUGAGGCUUUAGUUAUGUAUAUUAUAACAAACCCGGGGCUUAGGCCAUAACAUGCGGAGUUCGUCCGGGUUACCGAAGUUAGUUUGCUGUGCCGGUUGUUUUGCGUCUUUGUUUUGUUUGUGCAGUUAUGGAAUUUUGAUAUUAAGGGUUUGUUGAUAACCUGCACAAAGGCUGAACCUUUUUUUUUUUUUUGGAAUGCCGUAUAUUUCCAAUCGGGCGUAACCUGUACUGCCCGGAAGGCUGAACUUAAAGCUCAAAUAGUUACUGUACUUCUCUGGUUAAACGUAAAUUACUUGUUUUUGAUCCAUCAUCGCCUGUGUUAAAUUGUCCAGCGACGGUUUUCGAAUGAAACAACUGGAGGUCGAGUUAAUAAUGAAGGCGCUAGAGGUUAGAAACGGAGUUGGAAAUUAACGGUUGGAAACGAAACGGUUGAAGAAAAUGCGCUACGUUUGGAAGAGGUUGCGCUGGAAGCGAGCAAAAUGUGAGCUCCUCCGUCUGCUGGGUUUGGUGUAGGCCGGGAUAUUCGUCUGGUUUUACCGAGAGGUGGAUCGAUAUUUUGCCUACUUGGAGCGUGUAGCUACUUAGCAUGAAUGGGCAAAGCUUGGUCUUUACUCCCAGAGUGUGCUUGGUAGAAUCAGAGACGCUUAUUCCUCUUUAACUAUGGAUCACAGUCCUGGCUGUGAAGUGGUUAUAAAAUACCAUUGAGCGGACAUAUGAGCUGGUUCCUCAAGCUUAUCGGGCAGCGUUUUCGGCGAUGCAAGAGGGGAGACGGCAAGAUGUAUGUAAAAGUUGCACAAGAAAGUGUUCGAUUUAGGUUUCUGGACCUUCACCUUGGGUAUCUGCCGCUGAACAUAACCCACUAGUAGCGUCUCCACCGAAACAGGAAGAAAUUCAAAUCGGAGACUAACGCGAAGGAGUUUUACAAGCGUCUUCUCUUGAUAUCCGACAUGUCCGAGGAGGAGACGAUGUUGGGGCAGGUGCUUUGUCUCGAGUGUGGAGGGGAGGUCUGUCGGACGGUCAGGGGGUCUCCUCGGUCUCGCACAGGGCUUGACUGCUUGUGCUCACUACCGGACGGGCUCGCAGAGGCCUGCGUUUUGUAUGUUAAACUGCUUCCAGUUUAUAUUCCAACAAACUGGUCUUGGGCCGUAACAAGUCUAGUUGCUCCAAAGCAGUUCCCCCCCCCCACAGAGAUCAAGCUUAAACCACUUCUCCACACUAAGGUUUUAAUCCCGUGGGUUAUUGCGGCCCUAUUUAGUCCCCUUUUCACUCAAAGUGCUUAAGUGAAGUGCCCAGGUAGUGGGGAAACGACCCUUGUUUGUCAUUUAAUGCAUCAGACAAUUAAAACUAGGCCAUUCCUAGGCAGGAUGCCGCCGCCUUGCGGCCGCAGGUGGGGAUGCACCAUGCUCUUUCACGCUCUCCUCGUACAGCACAGUCUGCUUGGGUUUCCAAUCCGAGCUCUUUCGUAUCUGGAUCUAACACUGCUGUUACUAACGACACGCAUGAGGUUCCUCUAGUGGAUGAUGUGAAGUGUUGUGCAAGUCCGGUCUGCUGUGCCCCCUCAUUAAAGAUCUGGAAAUUUCG